Molecule: ribosomal RNA, 464 nt
Filed under: uncultured bacterium
Lineage: Bacteria
Description: partial 16S ribosomal RNA
Rfam family: Bacterial small subunit ribosomal RNA
Source: RNAcentral
CUACGGGCGGCAGCAGUGGGGAAUAUUGCACAAUGGGCGCAAGCCUGAUGCAGCCAUGCCGCGUGUACGAAGAAGGCCUUCGGGUUGUAAAGUACUUUCAGCGGGGAGGAAGGGAGUAAAGUUAAUACCUUUGCUCAUUGACGUUACCCGCAGAAGAAGCACCGGCUAACUCCGUGCCAGCAGCCGCGGUAAUACGGAGGGUGCAAGCGUUAAUCGGAAUUACUGGGCGUAAAGCGCACGCAGGCGGUUUGUUAAGUCAGAUGUGAAAUCCCCGGGCUCAACCCGGGAACUGCAUCUGAUACUGGCAAGCUUGAGUCUCGUAGAGGGGGGUAGAAUUCCAGGUGUAGCGGUGAAAUGCGUAGAGAUCUGGAGGAAUACCGGUGGCGAAGGCGGCCCCCUGGACGAAGACUGACGCUCAGGUGCGAAAGCGUGGGGAGCAAACAGUAUUAGAUACCCUCGUAGUC